AUUGAACGCUGGCGGCAGGCCUAACACAUGCAAGUCGAGCGAGCGGCGGACGGGUGCGUAAUGUAUGGGGACUGCCCGAUAGAGGGGGAUAACUACUGGCACCGGUGGCUAAUACCGCAUACUAUCGGAUAACCCAUAUGGGAUUAGCUAGUAGGUGGGGUAAAGGCUCCACUAGGCGACGCUCUCUAGCUGGUCUGCGAGGAUGGUCAGCCACACUGGGACUGAGACACGGCCCAGACUCCUACGGAGGCAGCAGUGGGUAAUAUUGCACAAUGGGCGCAAGCCUGAUGCAGCCAGGCCGCGUGUAUGAAGAAGGCCUUAGGGUUGUAAAGUACUGUCAGCGGGGAGGCGUUACCCGCAGAAGAAGCACCGGCUAACUCCGUGCCAGCAGCCGCGGUAAUUC
RNAcentral lists this ribosomal RNA (403 nucleotides) under uncultured bacterium. RNAcentral describes it as "partial 16S ribosomal RNA". It matches the Rfam family "Bacterial small subunit ribosomal RNA", at positions 30 to 526 of the family's 1533-position model. The record is from RNAcentral.